UUAGUAAAAUAGAAUACAAGAACAAAGACACUGGUAGCCAAUUGGACACAAAACAGGAAAGGAUAGCAGGGAUUCAGAAAGAGUGUUUUAAGUGCGGAGGAAGAGGGAAGAGAGGGGGCUGUGGUAGCCGUGGCGGAUGUGGCCACCACAGUGGACAGGAUUGCCAUGCCUACCACAUCACCCUAAAUUUAAAUUAAAUUUAUUAAAAUGAAA
Long non-coding RNA from Stylophora pistillata, 213 nucleotides. NCBI's taxonomy places the organism in Eukaryota, Metazoa, Cnidaria, Anthozoa, Scleractinia, Pocilloporidae. The record is from RefSeq and is a predicted model, not a curated record.